Molecule: transfer RNA, 86 nt
Filed under: Lachnospiraceae bacterium
Lineage: Bacteria; Bacillati; Bacillota; Clostridia; Lachnospirales; Lachnospiraceae
Description: tRNA-Ser
Rfam family: tRNA
About the family: Transfer RNA (tRNA) molecules are approximately 80 nucleotides in length. Their secondary structure includes four short double-helical elements and three loops (D, anti-codon, and T loops). Further hydrogen bonds mediate the characteristic L-shaped molecular structure. tRNAs have two regions of fundamental functional importance: the anti-codon, which is responsible for specific mRNA codon recognition, and the 3' end, to which the tRNAs corresponding amino acid is attached (by aminoacyl-tRNA synthetases). tRNAs cope with the degeneracy of the genetic code in two manners: having more than one tRNA (with a specific anti-codon) for a particular amino acid; and 'wobble' base-pairing, i.e. permitting non-standard base-pairing at the 3rd anti-codon position.
Source: RNAcentral
GGAGAGGUAUCGAAGCGGUCAUAACGAGGCGGUCUUGAAAACCGUUUGGCGGCGACGCCACAUGGGUUCGAAUCCCAUCCUCUCCG